UUCGAUGAUGAUACCGCGACACGCAAUGGCAUUCCUCGAACUAAAUUUCCAUGUCGAAUCUGUCUACUUCAAGUUUCAGCCUUGUCUGAGC
This 91-nucleotide small nucleolar RNA is filed under the name Cyphellophora europaea CBS 101466. RNAcentral's name for it is "A. fumigatus snoRNA Afu_455". It matches the Rfam family "A. fumigatus snoRNA Afu_455". Lineage: Eukaryota; Fungi; Ascomycota; Eurotiomycetes; Chaetothyriales; Cyphellophoraceae. The record is from Rfam by way of RNAcentral.